RNAcentral lists this ribosomal RNA (788 nucleotides) under Streptomyces cyaneofuscatus. RNAcentral's name for it is "bacterial SSU rRNA". It matches the Rfam family "Bacterial small subunit ribosomal RNA", at positions 68 to 872 of the family's 1533-position model. The record is from RNAcentral. Lineage: Bacteria; Bacillati; Actinomycetota; Actinomycetes; Kitasatosporales; Streptomycetaceae.
GAUGAGCCUUUCGGGGUGGAUUAGUGGCGAACGGGUGAGUAACACGUGGGCAAUCUGCCCUUCACUCUGGGACAAGCCCUGGAAACGGGGUCUAAUACCGGAUAACACUCUGUCCCGCAUGGGACGGGGUUAAAAGCUCCGGCGGUGAAGGAUGAGCCCGCGGCCUAUCAGCUUGUUGGUGGGGUAAUGGCCUACCAAGGCGACGACGGGUAGCCGGCCUGAGAGGGCGACCGGCCACACUGGGACUGAGACACGGCCCAGACUCCUACGGGAGGCAGCAGUGGGGAAUAUUGCACAAUGGGCGAAAGCCUGAUGCAGCGACGCCGCGUGAGGGAUGACGGCCUUCGGGUUGUAAACCUCUUUCAGCAGGGAAGAAGCGAAAGUGACGGUACCUGCAGAAGAAGCGCCGGCUAACUACGUGCCAGCAGCCGCGGUAAUACGUAGGGCGCAAGCGUUGUCCGGAAUUAUUGGGCGUAAAGAGCUCGUAGGCGGCUUGUCACGUCGGAUGUGAAAGCCCGGGGCUUAACCCCGGGUCUGCAUUCGAUACGGGCUAGCUAGAGUGUGGUAGGGGAGAUCGGAAUUCCUGGUGUAGCGGUGAAAUGCGCAGAUAUCAGGAGGAACACCGGUGGCGAAGGCGGAUCUCUGGGCCAUUACUGACGCUGAGGAGCGAAAGCGUGGGGAGCGAACAGGAUUAGAUACCCUGGUAGUCCACGCCGUAAACGUUGGGAACUAGGUGUUGGCGACAUUCCACGUCGUCGGUGCCGCAGCUAACGCAUUAAGUUCCCCGC